CUACCAAAUGUCAACUUCGGGGAAAGGUUUCACAGUAACCUUAACCUGCUUGAGCUGUUUGGAAGAGCAAAGAGAAGACCACACUCCACAGUGGGCUAUAUAAUACUGAACAUUAUAGUCUGCUACUAUAUUGUGGCCUACAUU
Non-coding RNA from Erinaceus europaeus (western European hedgehog), 144 nucleotides. The record is from Rfam. NCBI's taxonomy places the organism in Eukaryota, Metazoa, Chordata, Mammalia, Eulipotyphla, Erinaceidae.